This 459-nucleotide ribosomal RNA is filed under the name uncultured bacterium. RNAcentral describes it as "partial 16S ribosomal RNA". It matches the Rfam family "Bacterial small subunit ribosomal RNA", at positions 338 to 795 of the family's 1533-position model. The record is from RNAcentral.
CCUACGGGGGGCUGCAGUGAGGAAUAUUGGUCAAUGGCCGUAAGGCUGAACCAGCCAAGUCGCGUGAAGGAAGAAGGAUCUAUGGUUUGUAAACUUCUUUUAUAGGGGAAUAAAGGUAUCCACGUGUGGAUAUUUGCAUGUACCCUAUGAAUAAGCAUCGGCUAACUCCGUGCCAGCAGCCGCGGUAAUACGGAGGAUGCGAGCGUUAUCCGGAUUUAUUGGGUUUAAAGGGUGCGUAGGCGGGAUGCCAAGUCAGCGGUAAAAAUGCGGUGCUCAACGCCGUCGAGCCGUUGAAACUGGCGUUCUUGAGUGGGCGAGAAGUAUGCGGAAUGCGUGGUGUAGCGGUGAAAUGCAUAGAUAUCACGCAGAACUCCGAUUGCGAAGGCAGCAUACCGGCGCCCUACUGACGCUGAGGCACGAAAGCGUGGGUAUCGAACAGGAUUAGAUACCCCUGUAGUC